UCCGGCCAUAUCGCGUUGAAACACCGGUUUUCGUGCGAUCAAUGAAGUUGAGCAACAUUGAGCCUGGGCAGUAUGUGGAUGGGUGAACUCUUGGGAAUACCAGGACG
This is a non-coding RNA of Acanthosepion pharaonis, 107 nucleotides long. NCBI's taxonomy places the organism in Eukaryota, Metazoa, Mollusca, Cephalopoda, Sepiida, Sepiidae. The record is from the annotation of a GenBank genome assembly.